AGGGAAUCUUCCACAAUGGACGCAAGUCUGAUGGAGCAACGCCGCGUGAGUGAAGAAGGUUUUCGGACCGUAAAGCUCUGUUGUUGGUGAAGAAGGAUAGAGGUAGUAACUGGCCUUUAUUUGACGGUAAUCAACCAGAAAGUCACGGCUAACUACGUGCCAGCAGCCGCGGUAAUACGUAGGUGGCAAGCGUUGUCCGGAUUUAUUGGGCGUAAAGCGAGCGCAGGCGGAAGAAUAAGUCUGAUGUGAAAGCCCUCGGCUUAACCGAGGAAUUGCAUCGGAAACUGUUUUCUUGAGUGCAGAAGAGGAGAGUAGAACUCCAUGUGUAGCGGUGGAAUGCGUAGAUAUAUGGAAGAAUACCAGUGGCGAAGGCGGCUCUCUGGUCUGCAACUGACGCUGAGGCUCGAAAGCAUGGGUAGCGAACAGGAUUAGAUACCCUGGUAGUCCAUGCCGUAAACGAUGAGUGCUAAGUGUUGGGAGGCUUCCGCCUCUCAGUGCUGCAGCUAACGCAUUAAGCACUCCGCCUGGGGGAGUACGACC
RNAcentral lists this ribosomal RNA (540 nucleotides) under uncultured bacterium. RNAcentral's name for it is "partial 16S ribosomal RNA". It matches the Rfam family "Bacterial small subunit ribosomal RNA", at positions 356 to 887 of the family's 1533-position model. The record is from RNAcentral.